RNAcentral lists this ribosomal RNA (460 nucleotides) under uncultured bacterium. Its description in RNAcentral is "partial 16S ribosomal RNA". It matches the Rfam family "Bacterial small subunit ribosomal RNA", at positions 338 to 795 of the family's 1533-position model. The record is from RNAcentral.
CCUACGGGAGGCAGCAGUGAGGAAUAUUGGUCAAUGGACGAGAGUCUGAACCAGCCAAGUAGCGUGAAGGAUGACUGCCCUAUGGGUUGUAAACUUCUUUUAUAUGGGAAUAAAAUGUUCCACGUGUGGGAUUUUGUAUGUACCAUAUGACUAAGGAUCGGCUAACUCCGUGCCAGCAGCCGCGGUAAUAAGGAGGAUCCGAGCGUUAUCCGGAUUUAUUGGGUUUAAAGGGAGCGUAGGUGGAUUGUUAAGUCAGUUGUGAAAGUUUGCGGCUCAACCGUAAAAUUGCAGUUGAAACUGGCAGUCUUGAGUACAGUAGAGGUGGGCGGAAUUCGUGGUGUAGCGGUGAAAUGCUUAGAUAUCACGAAGAACUCCGAUUGCGAAGGCAGUUCACUGGACUGCAACUGACACUGAGGCUCGAAAGUGUGGGUAUCAAACAGGAUUAGAUACCCCAGUAGUC